AAAGUUGUCAAGAUAUUUCACAAUAAAGAUUUAUACACAGGUGCAUUUGUCUUGGUCAGAUCUGCGCAUCAUACAGUUAGAUCUGGUGGCUUGUGAGAGUGUCAUUGCCUAACAUUUCCAAGGAACAGUUGUGCGAUAUUUUCCCUCAGAAGCCAAGAUGCUUCGAAACUGUGCAGACAAUGUAGAGAACUUCUGCUGCAUUUGUGGCGAGGUGCCAUUUGCAUCUCAGCAAUGCAGCAUGAGGGCAGUGGUAAAAAAGGCGGACCACCUAUAUUCUGGGUGCCAAGUAGGGGCUCAGGACAAGAGUUGGGCCCCCAUUAUUGUUGCAUUACAUGUGCCACUGAUCUGCGUCACUGGCUAACAAGAAGGAAAAGUCCAUGCCUUUCGCAGUCCCAAUGGUGUGGCGGGAACCCCCCCAUCAUAAUAGUGACUGCUAUUUUUGCAUGGUCCCCCCAAUUGCGAAAGGGAUCUCGGGAAGAAGUGGACUGUGGAAUACCCAAACAUGCCAUCCGUGCUGCGUCCUGUCCCCCAUGGUGAGGGCCUGCCAAUUCCAGACCCACAGAAUCCCACUCUCUCUACUCAGAUGAUGGGAAAGACGAUGAGCAGGAAGCAGCUGCUCCGGGGCUGCCGGUGUCAGCGGACCCAGACUCUAGCCCGCCAUAUGCUGCUCCUGAACCACAUCCGAUCCACAGAGCGAGCUAAAGGGGUUUGGAGUUGCCUAAGUGCAAGGCAGAGCUGGGCUCCCGAAUGCCACAGUGGAACCUCCUGCAGGGUGAUGUCAAGAUCUCUGUCUUCCAUGAUCGCCAAAAAGAUCCGGUUCCGUAAAUGAUACAUGAAAAAUCAAUAACUGAAUGGAAAACUGUGUUAUUGGUAUCAAUUAAAAGAUAAAUUUAUAAUGA
This is a long non-coding RNA of Varanus komodoensis (Komodo dragon), 899 nucleotides long. RefSeq lists it as uncharacterized. The record is from RefSeq and is a predicted model, not a curated record. NCBI's taxonomy places the organism in Eukaryota, Metazoa, Chordata, Lepidosauria, Squamata, Varanidae. The transcript is spliced from 2 exons.